UACGAAGGGGCUAGCGUUGCUCGGAAUCACUGGGCGUAAAGGGUGCGUAGGCGGGUCUUUAAGUCAGGGUGAAAUCCUGGAGCUCAACUCCAGAACUGCCUUUGAUACUGAGGAUCUUGAGUUCGGGAGAGGUGAGUGGAACUGCGAGUGUAGAGGUGAAAUUCGUAGAUAUUCGCAAGAACACCAGUGGCGAAGGCGGCUCACUGGCCCGAUACUGACGCUGAGGCACGAAAGCGUGGGGAGCAACAGG
Molecule: ribosomal RNA, 250 nt
Filed under: uncultured bacterium
Lineage: Bacteria
Description: partial 16S ribosomal RNA
Rfam family: Bacterial small subunit ribosomal RNA
Source: RNAcentral